This 926-nucleotide ribosomal RNA is filed under the name uncultured Bacillota bacterium. RNAcentral describes it as "bacterial SSU rRNA". It matches the Rfam family "Bacterial small subunit ribosomal RNA", at positions 58 to 995 of the family's 1533-position model. Lineage: Bacteria; Bacillati; Bacillota. The record is from RNAcentral.
CAAGUCGAACGAUUAAAGCUUCCUUCGGGAAGUGCAUAGAGUGGCGCACGGGUGAGUAACACGUAAGUAAUCUACCUUCGAGUGGGGAAUAACGUCCGGAAACGGGCGCUAAUACCGCAUAAUGCAGCGGCAUCGCAAGAUGACAGUUGUUAAAGGAGCAAUCCGCUUGAAGAGGAGCUUGCGGCAGAUUAGCUUGUUGGUAAGGUAACGGCUUACCAAGGCUACGAUCUGUAACCGGUCUAAGAGGACGGUCGGUCACACUGACACUGAAUAACGGGUCAGACUCCUACGGGAGGCAGCAGUCGGGAAUUUUGGGCAAUGGGGGAAACCCUGACCCAGCAACGCCGCGUGAAGGAUGAAGUAUUUCGGUAUGUAAACUUCGAAAGAAUAGGAAGAAUUAAUGACGGUACUAUUUAUAAGGUCCGGCUAACUACGUGCCAGCAGCCGCGGUAAUACGUAGGGACCAAGCGUUGUUCGGAUUUACUGGGCGUAAAGGGCGCGUAGGCGGCAUGACAAGUCACUUGUGAAAUCUCCGGGCUUAACUCGGAACGGCCAAGUGAAACUGUCAAGCUAGAGUGCGGAAGGGGCAAUCGGAAUUCUUGGUGUAGCGGUGAAAUGCGUAGAUAUCAAGAGGAACACCUGAGGUGAAGACGGGUUGCUGGGCCGACACUGACGCUGAUGCGCGAAAGCCAGGGGAGCAAACGGGAUUAGAUACCCCGGUAGUCCUGGCCCUAAACGAUGAAUACUUGGUGUCUGGAGUAAUAUGUGCUCCGGGUGCCGUCGCUAACGUUUUUAGUAUUCCGCCUGGGGAGUACGCUCGCAAGAGUGAAACUCAAAGGAAUUGACGGGGACCCGCACAAGCGGUGGAGCAUGUGGUUUAAUUCGACGCACGCGAAGAACCUUACCUAGGCUAGAAUGUGAGGGAA